Molecule: ribosomal RNA, 492 nt
Filed under: uncultured bacterium
Lineage: Bacteria
Description: partial 16S ribosomal RNA
Rfam family: Bacterial small subunit ribosomal RNA
Source: RNAcentral
AGUGAACGCUGGCGGUAGGCCUAACACAUGCAAGUCGAACGGCAGCACAGUAAGAGCUUGCUCUUACGGGUGGCGAGUGGCGGACGGGUGAGGAAUACAUCGGAAUCUACUUUUUCGUGGGGGAUAACGUAGGGAAACUUACGCUAAUACCGCAUACGACCUACGGGUGAAAGCAGGGGAUCUUCGGACCUUGCGCGAUUGAAUGAGCCGAUGUCGGAUUAGCUAGUUGGCGAGGUAAAGGCCCACCAAGGCGACGAUCCGUAGCUGGUCUGAGAGGAUGAUGGGCCACACUGGAACUGAGACACGGUCCAGACGCCUAAGGGAGGCAGCAGUAGGGAAGCUGCCGCAAUGGGCGAAAGCCUGACGGAGCAACGGCGCGUGAGUGAUGAAGGUCUUCGGAUCGUAAAACUCUGUUAUUAGGGAAGAACAAAGGUGUAAGUAACUAUGCACGUCUUGACGGUACCUAAGCAGAAAGCCACGGCUAACUACGUG